RNAcentral lists this ribosomal RNA (639 nucleotides) under uncultured bacterium. RNAcentral describes it as "bacterial SSU rRNA". It matches the Rfam family "Bacterial small subunit ribosomal RNA", at positions 62 to 712 of the family's 1533-position model. The record is from RNAcentral.
UUAGAACAGAUUAUUUCGGUAUGAAGUUUUUUAUGACUCAUUGGCGGACGGGUGAGUAACGCGUGGGUAACCUGCCUUGUACUGGGGGAUAGCAGCUGGAAACGGCUGGUAAUACCGCAUAAGCGCACAAUGUUGCAUGACAUGGUGUGAAAAACUCCGGUGGUAUAAGAUGGACCCGCGUCUGAUUAGCUAGUUGGUGAGAUAACAGCCCACCAAGGCGACGAUCAGUAGCCGACCUGAGAGGGUGAUCGGCCACAUUGGGACUGAGACACGGCCCAGACUCCUACGGGAGGCAGCAGUGGGGAAUAUUGCACAAUGGAGGAAACUCUGAUGCAGCGACGCCGCGUGAGUGAAGAAGUAAUUCGUUAUGUAAAGCUCUAUCAGCAGGGAAGAUAGUGACGGUACCUGACUAAGAAGCUCCGGCUAAAUACGUGCCAGCAGCCGCGGUAAUACGUAUGGAGCAAGCGUUAUCCGGAUUUACUGGGUGUAAAGGGAGUGUAGGUGGCCAUGCAAGUCAGAAGUGAAAAUCCGGGGCUCAACCCCGGAACUGCUUUUGAAACUGUAAGGCUAGAGUGCAGGAGGGGUGAGUGGAAUUCCUAGUGUAGCGGUGAAAUGCGUAGAUAUUAGGAGGAACACCAG